GGGGGCGUGCUGGUUUCGACGGGGGUAGCUUGAGAUAGGAAUAGCGGGUCGAGGUUCCAUCAGCUCGUUAAACGGUGGGCUUAAAUAUAAACGCAGACGAUAAUUUAGCUUUAGCUGCCUAAUUUAAGGUAGCCGUCCACUUCAGGCCUCCCGCCACCUGAAUGUUGGGCGUCGAUUUGGCGGGGAACGGUCCUAUCAAAGCUUUGAGAUAGGAUUGUAUCCAUGAAGCUAGCCAAUCUGGAAUCCUGUUCCUGGGAGUCCAGUGCGGUGAAAUUUAAAACAGGAACUGCACCCGGAGAAGUUCCUAUCGGGGCACCUUCGGACAGGGGUUCGAUUCCCCUCGCCUCCACCA
RNAcentral lists this transfer-messenger RNA (352 nucleotides) under Calorimonas adulescens. RNAcentral describes it as "Standard tmRNA". It matches the Rfam family "transfer-messenger RNA". Rfam says of the family: Bacterial tmRNA, also known as 10Sa RNA or SsrA, is named for its dual tRNA and mRNA-like properties. The record is from Rfam by way of RNAcentral. Lineage: Bacteria; Bacillati; Bacillota; Clostridia; Thermoanaerobacterales; Thermoanaerobacteraceae.